GACCAGGUGGCGGAAUGGUAGACGCAAGGUAGGGGGAGCGAAAAAUGAAAAUAGGCUACGUGCAAACCUUAACGCUCCAUACGUGUACGCACGAAUAAAUCUCAUUUGAGGGUUCGAAUCCCUCCCUGGUCA
This 132-nucleotide transfer RNA is filed under the name Chitinophaga chungangae. RNAcentral's name for it is "Chitinophaga sp. MAH-28 tRNA-OTHER". It matches the Rfam family "tRNA". From Rfam's summary of the family: Transfer RNA (tRNA) molecules are approximately 80 nucleotides in length. RNAcentral also lists the same sequence under 1 other name. Lineage: Bacteria; Pseudomonadati; Bacteroidota; Chitinophagia; Chitinophagales; Chitinophagaceae. The record is from RNAcentral.